GGCGAAAUCAAGCAGCGAAGUGCCCCCUCCGUUCCUGGCACCAAAGCCAAAGCCCCCGUGCACCUCAUCAUAUCCACCAGCCUCAGCCCCAAUAUGGCCGUUAAAGUCUCCUCCAAUAACUAACUUCUCAGACUGGGGAAUCCUCCCCACCAGAUCAUCCAAGUCCUCCCAAACGCCUUUUAGCCUCUUCGUCUAAGCCUGCGUGCAGCGCGUACGCGCUAACGACAUUGAGGACUCCACCCCCAAUAACCAGCUUAAUAGACAUUAACCUAUCAUUCACUCGCCUAACCUCGACCAUGGACUCCCUUAGGUCCCCAUN
RNAcentral lists this long non-coding RNA (319 nucleotides) under Nicotiana benthamiana. RNAcentral's name for it is "long non-coding RNA (NBEN_LNC007688)". The record is from RNAcentral. Lineage: Eukaryota; Viridiplantae; Streptophyta; Magnoliopsida; Solanales; Solanaceae.